GAGAGAUCUAAGGCUUCGGUCUUAAUUUCGGCUGUGCGCUCAGGCUGCACGCCGAUAAACCUUYUCAACACCCUGUGCAACCUUUUUCGGGUUGCGGGUUUCGGCCCGCUUCCGCUUUUACAAUGCAACCACGAAAAGUCUAGAAUGUGAAGARAACUAUAAAGUAACAACUUUCAACAACGGAUCUCUUGGCUCUCGCAUCGAUGAAGAACGCAGCGAAAUGCGAAUUAAGUAAUGUGAAUUGCAGAAUUCAGUGAAUCAUCGAAUCUUUGAACGCACCUUGCGCUCCUUGGUAUUCCAUGGAGCAUGCCUGUUUGAGUGUCACGUAAACCCUCACCCCCUGCGAUGUAACAGUCGCCUGCGGUGGACUUGGACCGUGCCGGUAAUCGGCUCGUCUUGAAAUGCAUUASCUGGYGCUUUUUAGAGUGCUGGGCGAACGGGUGUGAUAAAUUAUYUGCGCCGACUGGCCMUGGGGGCCUCUUCAGCGGGMGCCUGCUUAACAGGCCGUCCCCUUGUGGACAACUAUUUUAAAGCUUUGGCCUCAAAUUCAGGUAGGACUACCAGCUGACUGAA
RNAcentral lists this ribosomal RNA (573 nucleotides) under Auricularia auricula-judae (jelly ear fungus). RNAcentral's name for it is "eukaryotic LSU rRNA". The stretch from base 169 to 324 matches the Rfam family "5.8S ribosomal RNA". The record is from RNAcentral. Lineage: Eukaryota; Fungi; Basidiomycota; Agaricomycetes; Auriculariales; Auriculariaceae.